CAGCAGCCGCGGUAAUACGUAGGGGGCAAGCGUUAUCCGGAAUUAUUGGGCGUAAAGAGUGCGUAGGUGGUCUACUAAGCGCGAGGUGAAAGGCAAUGGCUCAACCAUUGUUAGCCUUGCGAACUGGCAGACUUGAGUGCAAGAGAGGAAAGCGGAAUUCCUAGUGUAGCGGUGAAAUGCGCAGAUAUUAGGAGGAACACCGGCGGCGAAGGCGGCUUUCUGGAUUGUAACUGACACUGAGGCACGAAAGCGUGGGUAGCAAACAGGAUUAGAUACCCCCGUAGUCCCUGUCUCUUAUACA
RNAcentral lists this ribosomal RNA (301 nucleotides) under uncultured bacterium. RNAcentral describes it as "partial 16S ribosomal RNA". It matches the Rfam family "Bacterial small subunit ribosomal RNA", at positions 509 to 808 of the family's 1533-position model. The record is from RNAcentral.